RNAcentral lists this transfer RNA (90 nucleotides) under Volvox carteri f. nagariensis. It matches the Rfam family "tRNA". Rfam says of the family: Transfer RNA (tRNA) molecules are approximately 80 nucleotides in length. Their secondary structure includes four short double-helical elements and three loops (D, anti-codon, and T loops). Further hydrogen bonds mediate the characteristic L-shaped molecular structure. tRNAs have two regions of fundamental functional importance: the anti-codon, which is responsible for specific mRNA codon recognition, and the 3' end, to which the tRNAs corresponding amino acid is attached (by aminoacyl-tRNA synthetases). tRNAs cope with the degeneracy of the genetic code in two manners: having more than one tRNA (with a specific anti-codon) for a particular amino acid; and 'wobble' base-pairing, i.e. permitting non-standard base-pairing at the 3rd anti-codon position. The record is from Rfam by way of RNAcentral. Lineage: Eukaryota; Viridiplantae; Chlorophyta; Chlorophyceae; Chlamydomonadales; Volvocaceae.
GGUCGCGUGGCCUAAUGGAUAAGGCAUCGCCCUCCUGCAUAAUCUUCGGGGUACGGGCGGGGAUUGUGGGUUCAAGUCCCUUAGUGAUCG